UUUAAUUUCAAUGUCAAUAGUCCCUGCUCC
Molecule: non-coding RNA, 30 nt
Filed under: Rattus norvegicus (Norway rat)
Lineage: Eukaryota; Metazoa; Chordata; Mammalia; Rodentia; Muridae
Source: RNAcentral